This 786-nucleotide ribosomal RNA is filed under the name uncultured Actinomycetales bacterium. Its description in RNAcentral is "bacterial SSU rRNA". It matches the Rfam family "Bacterial small subunit ribosomal RNA", at positions 8 to 796 of the family's 1533-position model. Lineage: Bacteria; Bacillati; Actinomycetota; Actinomycetes; Actinomycetales. The record is from RNAcentral.
AGAGUUUGAUCAUGGCUCAGGACGAACGCUGGCGGCGUGCUUAAUACAUGCAAGUCGAGCGAGAAGCCACCGCUCCGUAAGGAGUGGUGGUGGAAAGCGGCGAACGGGUGAGUAACACGUGGGUAAUGUGCCCUGAACUUUGGGAUAACAGUGGGAAACCGCUGCUAAUACCGAAUAACCCUGCACUGUCGCAUGACAGAGCAGGCAAAGUUCCGGCGGUUCAGGAUCAGCCCGCGGUGUAUCAGCUUGUUGGUGGGGUAACGGCCUACCAAGGCUUUGACGCAUAGCUGGCGUGAGAGCGCGACCAGCCACACUGGGACUGAGACACGGCCCAGACUCCUACGGGAGGCAGCAGUAGGGAAUCUUGCGCAAUGGGCGAAAGCCUGACGCAGCGACGCCGCGUGAGGGAUGACGGCCUUCGGGUUGUAAACCUCUUUCAGCAGGGACGAAGCUUUACGGUGACGGUACCUGCAGAAGAAGCCCCGGCCAACUACGUGCCAGCAGCCGCGGUAAUACGUAGGGGGCAAGCGUUGUCCGGAUUUAUUGGGCGUAAAGAGCUCGUAGGCGGCUAUUCGCGUCGGAUGUGAAAGCUCAGGGCUCAACUCUGAGAGGCCAUUCGAUACGGGAUAGCUAGAGGUAGGUAGGGGAGAUCGGAAUUCCUGGUGUAGCGGUGAAAUGCGCAGAUAUCAGGAGGAACACCGAUGGCGAAGGCAGCUCUCUGGGACGGUACUGACGCUGAGACGCGAAAGCGUGGGGAGCGAACAGGAUUAGAUACCCUCGUAGUCC